Molecule: ribosomal RNA, 271 nt
Filed under: uncultured bacterium
Lineage: Bacteria
Description: partial 16S ribosomal RNA
Rfam family: Bacterial small subunit ribosomal RNA
Source: RNAcentral
GACAGAGGUGGCAAGCGUUGUUCGGAUUUACUGGGCGUAAAGGGUGCGUAGGUGGUUAGGUAAGACCUGCGGGAAAGACCUGGGCUUAACCCAGGAAGGUCGUAGGUGACUGCCUGGCUAGAGGGCGGGAGAGGAGAGCGGAAUUCCCGGUGUAGCGGUGAAAUGCGUAGAGAUCGGGAGGAAGGCCGGUGGCGAAGGCGGCUCUCUGGAACGUUCCUGACACUGAGGCACGAAAGCGUGGGGAGCAAACAGGAUUAGAAACCCGGGUAGU